RNAcentral lists this ribosomal RNA (374 nucleotides) under uncultured bacterium. RNAcentral describes it as "bacterial SSU rRNA". It matches the Rfam family "Bacterial small subunit ribosomal RNA", at positions 29 to 429 of the family's 1533-position model. The record is from RNAcentral.
AAUGAACGCUGGCGGCAUGCCUAACACAUGCAAGUCGAACGAGAUCCUUCGGGGUCUAGUGGCGCACGGGUGCGUAACGCGUGGGAAUCUACCCUUGGGUUCGGAAUAACAGUGAGAAAUUACUGCUAAUACCGGAUGAUGACGUAAGUCCAAAGAUUUAUCGCCCAGGGAUGAGCCCGCGUAAGAUUAGCUAGUUGGUGGGUAAAGGCCUACCAAGGCGACGAUCUUUAGCUGGCUGAGAGGAUGAUCAGCCACACCUGGGACUGAGACACGGCCCAGACUCCUACGGGAGGCAGCAGUGGGGAAUAUUGGACAAUGGGCGCAAGCCUGAUCCAGCAAUGCCGCGUGAGUGAUGAAGGCCUUAGGGUUGUAAA